Molecule: ribosomal RNA, 535 nt
Filed under: uncultured bacterium
Lineage: Bacteria
Description: partial 16S ribosomal RNA
Rfam family: Bacterial small subunit ribosomal RNA
Source: RNAcentral
UAAGGAAUAUUGGUCAAUGGACGCAAGUCUGAACCAGCCAUGCCGCGUGAAGGAUUAAGGUCCUCUGGAUUGUAAACUUCUUUUAUCUGGGACGAAAAAGGCGAUUCUUCGUCACUUGACGGUACCAGAUGAAUAAGCACCGGCUAACUCCGUGCCAGCAGCCGCGGUAAUACGGAGGGUGCAAGCGUUAUCCGGAUUCACUGGGUUUAAAGGUGCGUAGGCGGGCAGGUAAGUCAGUGGUGAAAAUCCUAGAGCUUAACUCUAGAACUGCCAUUGAUACUAUCUGUCUUGAAUAUUGUGGAGGUAAGCGGAAUAUGUCAUGUAGCGGUGAAAUGCUUAGAUAUGACAUAGAACACCUAUUGCGAAGGCAGCUUACUACGCAUAUAUUGACGCUGAGGCACGAAAGCGUGGGGAUCAAACAGGAUUAGAUACCCUGGUAGUCCACGCCCUAAACGAUGAUUACUCGACAUUUGUGAUACACUAUAAGUGUCUGAGCGAAAGCAUUAAGUAAUCCACCUGGGAAGUACGACCGCAA